UACGUAGGGUGCGAGCGUUGUCCGGAAUUAUUGGGCGUAAAGAGCUCGUAGGCGGUCUGUCGCGUCGAAUGUGAAAACCCGGGGCUCAACUCCGGGCUUGCAUUCGAUACGGGCAGGCUAGAGUUCGGUAGGGGAGUCUGGAAUUCCUGGUGUAGCGGUGAAAUGCGCAGAUAUCAGGAGGAACACCGGUGGCGAAGGCGGGACUCUGGGACGUUACUGACGCUGAGACGCGAAAGCGUGGGGAGCAAACAGG
This 253-nucleotide ribosomal RNA is filed under the name uncultured bacterium. RNAcentral's name for it is "partial 16S ribosomal RNA". It matches the Rfam family "Bacterial small subunit ribosomal RNA", at positions 524 to 776 of the family's 1533-position model. The record is from RNAcentral.